GGAGUUGUGGCUCAGCGGUAGAGCACUCGCCUAGCACGUGUGAGGCUCUGAGUUCAAUCCUCAGUACCA
RNAcentral lists this transfer RNA (69 nucleotides) under Ictidomys tridecemlineatus (thirteen-lined ground squirrel). RNAcentral describes it as "Spermophilus tridecemlineatus (thirteen-lined ground squirrel) tRNA". It matches the Rfam family "tRNA". Rfam says of the family: Transfer RNA (tRNA) molecules are approximately 80 nucleotides in length. The record is from Rfam by way of RNAcentral. Lineage: Eukaryota; Metazoa; Chordata; Mammalia; Rodentia; Sciuridae.